UCAAACAAAUUUGAAACGGCCUAUCACAUAGCUCAAUUAUCGUAGGCUUAGGUUCAUAAUCACCCUUUUAAUUAAUUAACACUUUAACUAAUUAAUUGAAUGCAACAUUUUCAUUUGGUUUUUGUAUCCAUAAAAUUGAUUUAAAUGGAGCUAAAUGAAAUGAAAAUCCAAUUCUCAUUUAAAGCGACAAAACAAUUUUGUUCUCAAACUAUUUGGGCCAUCAUGCAAUAACCACAACUUUU
RNAcentral lists this long non-coding RNA (242 nucleotides) under Malus domestica (apple). Its description in RNAcentral is "long non-coding RNA (MDOM_LNC012999)". Lineage: Eukaryota; Viridiplantae; Streptophyta; Magnoliopsida; Rosales; Rosaceae. The record is from RNAcentral.